Molecule: non-coding RNA, 102 nt
Filed under: Clostridium saccharobutylicum
Lineage: Bacteria; Bacillati; Bacillota; Clostridia; Eubacteriales; Clostridiaceae
Also listed under: 1 other name
Description: Guanine sequence
Rfam family: Purine riboswitch aptamer
About the family: Riboswitches are metabolite binding domains within certain messenger RNAs that serve as precision sensors for their corresponding targets.
Source: RNAcentral
ACCACAAAUAAUACACAAACUCGUAUAUUUCCAAAUGUAUGGUUGGAAAGUUUCUACCUGCUAUCCGUAUAUUAGCAGACUAUGAGGUAACUUUUAUGAUGA